GACAACAGUCCUCAUCGUGCCAAGGCCAGCCAGCUUCGGACACGCACCGUUCAGGGCACGAGGGUACCUGUCUGGGAGGAGACACUCACCUAUCACGGCUUCACCCGCCAGGAUGCUGAGUGCAAGACCCUUAGGUGAGGAUCUGGCCUGGGCCACCUGGGGGUGGAGCAGAGGGAUGGGGCUGGCCUGGCCAGGUCUGACCUGGGCGGCCACCAGGCUGUGUGUGUGCGAGGACCCAUGGCUGCAGCGACAGCGGCAGGCACCUUCCCUGGGGGAGCUGCGGGUGCCCCUGAGGAAGCUGGUGCCAAACCGAGCCAGGAGCUUUGACAUCUGUCUGGAGAAGCGGAGGCUGGUGAGUGGGGCUGGAGCACAGAGUGGGACUGCAGAGGCCAGGAACCUUGUGAUGGGGGGAGCUGGAGGGGAGGAACAGGGAGGGGGAUCUGGGCAGCAUCUGGCCAGGAUGACCGGGCUCUCUGCCCUUUCAGGCCAAGAGGCCCAAGAGCCUGGACACAGCCUGCGGCAUGUCCCUCUAUGAGGCGGGUAGGACAACUGGGCUGAGCAGAGAUG
RNAcentral lists this small RNA (567 nucleotides) under Pan troglodytes (chimpanzee). RNAcentral's name for it is "retained intron". The record is from RNAcentral. Lineage: Eukaryota; Metazoa; Chordata; Mammalia; Primates; Hominidae.